AUAUAGCCGUCUGGAGAGCGGUCGCCCAGAGCGACCCACCGAAGGGGCAAGCGGCAACGCCGCGUAAACUCUCAGGUACAGGGGACAGGGGGAGAGGC
RNAcentral lists this non-coding RNA (98 nucleotides) under Aquipseudomonas alcaligenes. RNAcentral's name for it is "Pseudomonas alcaligenes Glycine sequence". It matches the Rfam family "Glycine riboswitch aptamer". From Rfam's summary of the family: This family represents the bacterial glycine riboswitch. Lineage: Bacteria; Pseudomonadati; Pseudomonadota; Gammaproteobacteria; Pseudomonadales; Pseudomonadaceae. The record is from RNAcentral.